GCUCAGAUAGCUCAGCUGGUAGAGCAUGAGACUCUUAAUCUCAUGGGUUGUGGGUUCGAGCCCCACAUUGGGCG
This is a non-coding RNA of Zootoca vivipara (common lizard), 74 nucleotides long. NCBI's taxonomy places the organism in Eukaryota, Metazoa, Chordata, Lepidosauria, Squamata, Lacertidae. The record is from the annotation of a RefSeq genome assembly.